Molecule: long non-coding RNA, 246 nt
Filed under: Lathyrus oleraceus (garden pea)
Lineage: Eukaryota; Viridiplantae; Streptophyta; Magnoliopsida; Fabales; Fabaceae
Description: Pisum sativum (pea) long non-coding RNA (PSAT_LNC042063)
Source: RNAcentral
UUUAUUGUAAUUUUUUUGACUUUUUUGGUAAUCUCCUCUUACAGGAUUUGUUUCUUCAUGUAAUAUCACCCAUUUACGGGUGAAAUUCUCAAUAAAUAAAGUUUUCUUUUUCGAGCCUUAUUAUUUGUUUUUCAGUUUUUCUGCUUGAUUACAAAUUGUUAAUUUAUUUUGGAUAAUGAAUUGAAACAUCGGUCAUAAUAAAAAGCUUUUGAAAACGUAUUUUACUUUGAAAUAUCAAAGGGACCG